CCCCCGCCAGCGCACUGGGGCUCACGGGCUCCGUGUCCGGGGGCAGGGAGGCCGCGGCGGAGGGGCCGCGGGGCCGCCGCCAGCAGCGCCGGCGGGGGGAGCGGCAGCAGCAGGAGGAGGAGGAGGAAGAGGAGAAGGAGAUUGAAGAUAGGCAGGCCGAGAUGAGCAGGAGGAAUGUGCCUCAGAGGUAAAGAUGAGGAAUAUGCUCUUGAAAAGAGGGUGACUGCACCUGAAGGCACUGCUCAGAAGAGGAAGGUGUAUGCUAAUGAGCGAGAUCUCCACUAGUCUCCAUUAUAUUAUCACACUUAGAGCACACUGCUUCCAUCAAGUGGGCCUGAGAGGAGGGUGAUCCAUGGACCUGAUAUGAAAUGCCUUUUCCAUCUAGUUGUGCAGUGUUUGGUUUUCUAGAGUGAACAUGUUGCUGUGGAGUUUCUUGUCCCAAAUUUGGAACGAUGUGUUAAUAAAUUAUAAAACUGCUA
Molecule: non-coding RNA, 479 nt
Organism: Taeniopygia guttata (zebra finch)
Lineage: Eukaryota; Metazoa; Chordata; Aves; Passeriformes; Estrildidae
Source: RefSeq, a predicted model, not a curated record